RNAcentral lists this ribosomal RNA (388 nucleotides) under uncultured bacterium. Its description in RNAcentral is "partial 16S ribosomal RNA". It matches the Rfam family "Bacterial small subunit ribosomal RNA", at positions 523 to 918 of the family's 1533-position model. The record is from RNAcentral.
AUACGUAGGUGGCAAGCGUUAUCCGGGAUUAUUGGGCGUAAAGAGUGAGCAGGCGGUUAAUUAAGUCUGAGGUUAAAGCGUGGGGCUCAACCCCAUAAAGCCUUGGAAACUGAUUGACUAGAGUACGGGAGAAGUGAAGGGAACUCCAUGUGUAGCGGUGAAAUGCGUAGAUAUAUGGAAGAACACCAGUGGCGAAGGCGCUUCACUAGCCCGAAACUGACGCUCAGUCACGAAAGCGUGGGUAGCAAAUAGGAUUAGAUACCCUAGUAGUCCACGCUGUAAACGAUGACAACUAAAUAUUGCCGCGAGGCAGUGUUGAAGCUAACGCAUUAAGUUGUCCGCCUGGGGAGUACGGUCGCAAGACUGAAACUUAAAGGAAUUGACGGGG